This 518-nucleotide ribosomal RNA is filed under the name uncultured bacterium. Its description in RNAcentral is "bacterial SSU rRNA". It matches the Rfam family "Bacterial small subunit ribosomal RNA", at positions 8 to 518 of the family's 1533-position model. The record is from RNAcentral.
AGAGUUUGAUUCUGGCUCAGGAUGAACGCUAGCGGCAGGCUUAACACAUGCAAGUCGAGGGGCAGCGGGAUGUAGCAAUACAUUGCCGGCGACCGGCGGAUGGGUGCGUAACGCGUAUGCAACCUACCUUAUACAGGGGAAUAACCUUUCGAAAGGGAGACUAACACCCCAUAGUAUUGAUUUAAGGCAUCUUAGAUUAAUUAAAUAUUUAUAGGUAUAAGAUGGGCAUGCGUAUGAUUAGCUAGUUGGUAAGGUAACGGCUUACCAAGGCGACGAUCAUUAGGGGUUCUGAGAGGAAGGUCCCCCACACUGGUACUGAGACACGGACCAGACUCCUACGGGAGGCAGCAGUGAGGAAUAUUGGUCAAUGGGCGCAAGCCUGAACCAGCCAUGCCGCGUGCCAGGAAGACGGCCUUAUGGGUUGUAAACUGCUUUUACAUAAGACUAACCGUAUAUUUGCGAAUAUACCUGAAUGUAUUAUGAGAAUAAGGAUCGGCUAACUCCGUGCCAGCAGCGGC